Molecule: ribosomal RNA, 253 nt
Filed under: uncultured bacterium
Lineage: Bacteria
Description: partial 16S ribosomal RNA
Rfam family: Bacterial small subunit ribosomal RNA
Source: RNAcentral
UACGGAGGGGGCUAGCGUUGCUCGGAAUGACUGGGCGUAAAGGGCGUGUAGGCGGUUUGUACAGUUAGAUGUGAAAUCCCCGGGCUUAACCUGGGAGCUGCAUUUAAUACGUGUAGACUAGAGUGUGAGAGAGGGGUGUGGAAUUCACAGUGUAGAGGUGAAAUUCGUAGAUAUUGGGAAGAACACCGGUGGCGAAGGCGGCAACCUGGAUCAUUACUGACGCUGAGGCGCGAAAGCGUGGGGAGCAAACAGG